AGAGUUUGAUCCUGGCUCAGAUUGAACGCUGGCGGAGUGCUUUACACAUGCAAGUCGAACGGCAGCACGGACUUCGGUCUGGUGGCGAGUGGCGAACGGGUGAGUAACAUAUCGGAACGUAUCCAAUAAUGGGGGAUAACUAAUCGAAAGGUUGGCUAAUACCGCAUACGCCCUACGGGGGAAAGCUAGGGACCUUCGGGCCUGGCGUUAAUGGAGCGGCCGAUAUCUGAUUAGCUAGUUGGUGAGGUAAAGGCUCACCAAGGCGACGAUCAGUAGCUGGUCUGAGAGGACGACCAGCCACACUGGAACUGAGACACGGUCCAGACUCCUACGGGAGGCAGCAGUGGGGAAUUUUGGACAAUGGGCGCAAGCCUGAUCCAGCCAUUCCGCGUGAGUGAAGAAGGCCUUCGGGUUGUAAAGCUCUUUCGCAAGGGAAGAAAACUUAGUUACUAAUAUUAACUGAGGUUGACGGUACCUUGAUAAGAAGCACCGGCUAACUACGUGCCAGCAGCCGCGGUAAUACGUAGGGUGCGAGCGUUAAUCGGAAUUACUGGGCGUAAAGCGUGCGCAGGCUGUUUUGUAAGUCAGAUGUGAAAUCCCCGAGCUCAACUUGGGAACUGCGUUUGAAACUACAAGACUAGAAUAUGUCAGAGGGGGGUAGAAUUCCACGUGUAGCAGUGAAAUGCGUAGAGAUGUGGAGGAAUAUCAAUGGCGAAGGCAGCCCCCUGGGAUAAUAUUGACGCUCAUGCACGAAAGCGUGGGGAGCAAACAGGAUUAGAUACCCUGGUAGUCCACGCCCU
RNAcentral lists this ribosomal RNA (800 nucleotides) under uncultured bacterium. RNAcentral's name for it is "bacterial SSU rRNA". It matches the Rfam family "Bacterial small subunit ribosomal RNA", at positions 8 to 803 of the family's 1533-position model. The record is from RNAcentral.